AAGAGAGAAAAAUAUAUAUAUAAUAUUAUUAUAAUGUACUUAUCUAAUAUAAAUCGCAAAAAGUGUGAGAUGCCGGAAGUGAAAUGAGCGAGCGAUCUCUCGACCAAUUACGGGCUGCUUCUAGGACUGUGCAACGGUAAAGCGGAUUUACUCCGGACACCGGAGAUUUUCCGACACAACAGGAAACGACCUACUUCCGUGAAUCAAGUUCCUCUACAUUCAUUGGAACGUCCCCACCCAGCCCAUGCAGUCAGCACCAUGUUGAAGAGCUUACCAAAUACUAUUCCCAAAAAGUUUUGUUAAUUGCUCAGUUUGAACUUAAUAAUUUUAUGAAAAAUAUUAAGUACCUAUGUAUUUUUAUAACCAUUUAAAAAAAAAAUUAAGUAUCAUUUUUUUCAAUAGGUUUAGGAAAUUUUAAUAAUAUAAGUAAGUGAACUGCAGCAAUGAGUUGAGAGUGCAAUUUCUCAGAUUCUUGUAAUUAUUUAUAGUAUUUAAUUACAUUAAUUGUAGGAAAAAUUUUGUACAACAAGUUAUUAUGAAAUAUUCUAUUGUCCUCAAAAUUUGUGUAGAAGAAUAUUUUGUUGUGACAAUGAAAACUAUCUUGAUAUUUAAAGUGUAAAUAUAAUAAAAUAUACAUUAUUUACAUAGGAAAAUAUAUAUUCUAUUUAUUAUAAUUGUGGUCAUCCUGCUUGAGAGAGAGACACCUGCAGGUAUUGAUAAUUGCACGGGUUCUUCUCAUAUAGAUAUGAUGGUCAUUUAUAAUAAUAAUAUUAUGUUGUUUGUUUCCUCCAUUAGAACGCUGUAAUAUAAAAAAAAUAUUGUAUUACCUACAGUUACUUAACAAUAGUUAUAAGUAUAAUGUGAAAUUGUACCAAUGGUAAAAUAAUAUAGUCAUACAACAAUAAUUUGAAACUGUAAAUAUCAAUUUAAUGUGUUGUAAGUCCAUCAGUAUACAAUCAGUGUACUUAUAUGAAGUUUUUAAUAAAGAUGUAAAGAAAGAUAAUUUUCAAAUUCAAAUUAUAUUUAUUGUGGUACACAGGUAGGAUUAAGGUGUUAUACAUUUACUUAUAUUACAGUACAGCUAUGAUCCGUUAUAAUAGCAUACAACAAUUUAAAAUUCUAGAGAAGACAGAAUACAUUCUAUACAUAUUAACAUCAUCAAGAUGAUCGUUCAAACAGUAAUAACAUUUGUCAUGCAGAAUUUUAAAUAAUUUAUUUUUAUAAUCACUAAUGUCUUUCAUAAUAUGUCUCUUAUUGGUUUUGGAAUUUUUUUAUAAUUAUGUCAGGAAUUAAGUGAAAUACACUUUUAUGGAAUAA
RNAcentral lists this long non-coding RNA (1317 nucleotides) under Manduca sexta (tobacco hornworm). RNAcentral's name for it is "uncharacterized LOC119190813". Lineage: Eukaryota; Metazoa; Arthropoda; Insecta; Lepidoptera; Sphingidae. The record is from RNAcentral.